Non-coding RNA from Rattus norvegicus (Norway rat), 499 nucleotides. The record is from RefSeq and is a predicted model, not a curated record. NCBI's taxonomy places the organism in Eukaryota, Metazoa, Chordata, Mammalia, Rodentia, Muridae.
AAGAACAAGAAAAGAAUUUCUGCUUUUAGUGGCCAGACCUUCAACUUUUGCUCACAGAAAGAGAGUGCUCAUUAAGAGAAGUUCUUUCAGGGAGCCUGCCUUAUCUGUUGGUUUUAUUCCAAGAGAGGAGUCAGUCUCCAGCAUUAAGUUAUUUUUCUCGUUAGUCAUCAUUAACAUGGAGAGUGCCUUUGAUCCUAUCCCCACAGCAGCCAGUUCCUGCCCCUGUGGUCAAAAUGCCCCAGGUUGGGGGACAGAGAAGCCCCUCGGACUACAAAACUGCCAACAGCCAAAGGACGAGAUAAAAAUAAUAAGGACUUGAAGAUCCGAUCCUUCUCCUGAUUUAGUAGCUCUGUUCCAAGAACCAGGGGCCAUAAAACCUUUUGGCCCUUAUCUCCUGGAGCCAUAAAACAGGGACGUAUUGGGGUAAGAUGGGCUAGAAAAGGCCUCGAUGAUUUGGGCUAGCAUGAGUAAAACUUGUAAUAAAAAAGAGACAAGGUAA